CCAGACUCCUACGGGAGGCAGCAGUGGGGGAUAUUGGACAAUGGGGGGAACCCUGAUCCAGCGACGCCGCGUGAGUGAAGAAGUAUCUCGGUAUGUAAAGCUCUAUCAGCAGGGAAGAAAGAAAUGACGGUACCUGAGUAAGAAGCCCCGGCUAACUACGUGCCAGCAGCCGCGGUAAUACGUAGGGGGCAAGCGUUAUCCGGAAUUACUGGGUGUAAAGGGAGCGUAGACGGUGAAGUAAGUCUGGAGUGAAAGGCGGGGGCCCAACCCCCGGACUGCUCUGGAAACUAUUUGACUGGAGUGCAGGAGAGGUAAGCGGAAUUCCUAGUGUAGCGGUGAAAUGCGUAGAUAUUAGGAGGAACACCAGUGGCGAAGGCAGCAUACCGGCGGCGAUCUGACGCUGAGGCACGAAAGCGUGGGUAUCGAACAGGAUUAGAUACCCGAGUAGUA
RNAcentral lists this ribosomal RNA (450 nucleotides) under uncultured bacterium. RNAcentral describes it as "bacterial SSU rRNA". It matches the Rfam family "Bacterial small subunit ribosomal RNA", at positions 331 to 795 of the family's 1533-position model. The record is from RNAcentral.